CCAAAAGAAAAAAAUGUGGUGUGGUAUACGCACGCGCAAGACUGGUGCACAUGCGUGUUGCAAAUCGGGCAUGAGUAGGGUAGUCGUCCAGUCAAGAACUUAACAGCGAGUAACAAGUUAUUUGAGAUAUUGGGUCUAGGCAAGUAGUUAUGGCAGACCAUAAUUACACCCCAGCCAUUCUGAGGCUACCUGUCUCAAACACUAGAUAUACCUGUACAGAAGUCGGAGCUAACGUCUGUGCGAGGCGCAGGGGAGAGUGCUCAGGUUCGGCGACCAACUUGGAUGGUUAUGUUCAUUUAAAGGGUUGGCUACCUCCCCAAUAUGAGUACCAUGUUUGCAAUCUAGAACAAGUGCCUUCAUCUACUGAUCAUAUUGGGUUUGAUGCAACAAUCAGGAUCAAGAACAUCACUACAGUAGACCAAGCUCAGCAGUGGGUGAAGGCAGCUAAGAGGAGCUCGGGGGUGAUGUGGAGGGUUGAUGUCACGAGACCUAGGUUGGGGAAACGUGUUUUACACAAGGUUUCUUACAAGUGUCAGCAUAAUGUAAAUGUGAAGUCUAAGACGGCAAAUUCCAGAAGAUCCUCAAAAAAUACAAACUGUCAGGCAAAGAUGUCUGUCACUCUCAAGCACUGUAAUAAUGGGAAGAUUAACCAGAGCAAAGAUCCACACCUGCCUGACUUUCCCUUUGAGGUGAAAAUUCAGAACAAGCACAACCACAACCUGUUUGUUGCAGAGGCUCUCAGACACCGAGAUGUGGGAGAGAAGGCCAUAGAAAGCCUUACAAAACUGUUUGAGAUUGGUCACUCUCCCUCAUCUGCACUAUCUGCCCUGAAGAAUGAUCUGCAAAUGGAGUAUGGAGACAGAUACACCUAUGCCUCAACUAACCGGGAGAUUUGCCCUGACCUUUCAUUCGUGCAAAAACUAUACCAAAAAGUUUGCAGGAAGCAGUAUGGUGCACACACACAAGAAGCAGGUGCAACACAUAAUCAACAGCACUUACAGACAGGUGGUUUGUUAUGAUUUUUUAUGAUAUGAUACAUUUAUUAACAGCAGUGUAAUAUAUGUAUUGACUCAUAUAUAAUAUCUGGGAUAUAUUAGAUGGUAAGCUAACAUUAGGUACGCGUAGCUGACAUGUUGGAUAAAGAAGAAAUAUUUUUUACAAGAGUCAGCAUUAUUUGUUACAUGGGGGUGGUCUUAAUGUUUUAGCUCAUCUGUGUACAUACUCGCUGGCCACUUUAUUAGGUGCACUUUGUUAGUAUCAUGUCGGACCUCAGUUUUGCCUUUAGAGGUGCCUUAAUUCUUUGUGCCAUAGAUUCAGCAAGGUACUUCAAACUUCCCUUACAUACUUUGGUCCACAUUGGCAUGACGGCAUCACACAUUUGCUGCAGAUUUGUCGGUAGAUCCUUCAUGAGACCUCACUGCUGACCAGGGAUCCACAUAUGCCCAGCCCAUCAUUGAAGAUCAUAAUGAUGAAACCAGUCAUGAAAUGCCUGCUGACUUGGUUGAGGUCAUGAUCGACAGACUGUGUCAGCUUCGUGAUGACAACCACUUUAGUCCUGGACUGGUUGCUAUGGCCAAGCAGUUUAAUCACAUAAAAGAUAACCCAGCAAAGCUACUGUCUGCAAUGCAUGGCUUUGGGAAAUCCACCAACCCUGUAGCAUACAGUGCCAAGGCCAUCAGAAGACCAGCAAAACGUCUACAGCCUACAUCUUUAGACAAGUGUUCAGUCAAAGUGGGGAUCAAAGAAGCAUUUGAGUCCUGAACACAGUGGUAUAGAACAUCCAUGCUGCCUGGAGAAAGAGGGCGGUAAAGUUUCCUCAUCACAGAUUGGGGCAUUGUGUGGCAAUGAACUGUUAGUACGGUUAGCUGUUGAGGCUGCAUUUUUUGGGGGAUGGUUUAAUACUGAAAUCUGGAAAUUCAGUGGGCCUCUUCUCCCAGUAAUUUUAUUGUUGUCCUGUACAUAAUUAAUUGUCAAUAGUUUCUUUUACAAACUUAUGCAAAAGUAACCUGUUGCACCUGUUGAAAUUUCAUUUACAAACCUAUACAAAGUCCAAAAACUUACACGCAGAUUAUAUGGAAAUUGACAGUAAUGUACCAUUUGCACUUUACCAUUAGCAUCCUGUGCUGCACUGUGUCCUGUACUCUUGCUCUGCAUCUUUUUUUGUUUUUACCCUGAGAUGUGCCAAGUCUACUUUAAAUCAACUUUGUGUAGGCAUGCAAUAAAGGGAUAGUGAUACUUCGUACUUAAAAUUACCCUGCUGUAUAUUCAUUCGUUGAUUAUUUAGAUGAUUUUUUUUUAUAAUAAUCUAAUAAUUAUAAUACUGUUUUACUAAGUAACAGCAAAUUAAUAGUAAAGGUUUUGUUUCACAUUAA
Molecule: RNA transcript, 2372 nt
Organism: Brienomyrus brachyistius
Lineage: Eukaryota; Metazoa; Chordata; Actinopteri; Osteoglossiformes; Mormyridae
Exons: 11
Source: RefSeq, a predicted model, not a curated record